Molecule: ribosomal RNA, 578 nt
Filed under: Leucosporidium sp.
Lineage: Eukaryota; Fungi; Basidiomycota; Microbotryomycetes; Leucosporidiales; Leucosporidiaceae
Description: LSU rRNA
Rfam family: Eukaryotic large subunit ribosomal RNA
Source: RNAcentral
GCAUAUCAAUAAGCGGAGGAAAAGAAACUAACAAGGAUUCCCCUAGUAACGGCGAGUGAAGCGGGAAGAGCUCAAAUUUGUAAUCUGGCACUUUCAGUGUCCGAGUUGUAAUCUCGAGAAGUAUUUUCCGCGCCGGACCGCAUACAAGUCUGUUGGAAUACAGCGUCAUAGUGGUGAGAACCCCGUAACUGAUGCGGAUGCCCGGUGCUUUGUGAUAUACUUUCGAAGAGUCGAGUUGUUUGGGAAUGCAGCUCAAAUUGGGUGGUAAAUUCCAUCUAAAGCUAAAUAUUGGAGCAAGACCGAUAGCGAACAAGUACCGUGAGGGAAAGAUGAAAAGCACUUUGGAAAGAGAGUUAACAGUACGUGAAAUUGUUGGAAGGGAAACGCUUGAAGUCAGACUUGCUAUUCGGAGUUCAGCCGCAAGGUGUAUUCUUCGAUUUGCAGGCCAGCAUCAGUUUUUGGGGGUGGAAAAUCGUGGUUUGAAGGUAGCAGUUUCGGCUGUGUUAUAGCUUUCCACUGGAUUCGUCUUCGGGGACUGAGGAACGCAGUACGCUUUUUGCAAGGCUUUCGAGCUUUUC